AUUGAACGCUGGCGGCGUGCUUAACACAUGCAAGUCGAUCGGUAACAGGUGUAGCAAUACAUGCUGACGAGAGGCGGACGGGUGAGUAAUGCUUGGGAAUCUGCCUAUUAGUGGGGGACAACCCGGGGAGACUCGGGCUAAUACCGCAUACGCUCUACGGAGGAAAGCCGGGGACCGCAAGGCCUGGCGCUAAUAGAUGAG
This 201-nucleotide ribosomal RNA is filed under the name uncultured bacterium. Its description in RNAcentral is "partial 16S ribosomal RNA". It matches the Rfam family "Bacterial small subunit ribosomal RNA", at positions 30 to 229 of the family's 1533-position model. The record is from RNAcentral.